AUGUCCCAUAUGUUCGUAUCAUACGUGUCCUCUAUCUGUAUAAGGAUUUUGAUCAGUAAAGACAAAAUGAAUGAAUGUUUUGGUAGAAUGUGCAAGGCCAGUCUUCAGAAGGUGAUUUUGCUGGGUGCAGUGACGCAUAGCUGUAAUCCCAGCGUUUUGGGAGGCUGAGGUGGAUCACUUGAGGCCUAGAGUUCGAGAUUAGCCUGCCAAUAUAGUGAAAUCCCGUCUCUAUUAAAAGUACAAAAAGGUACUGGGGCAUGGGCACGCACGCCUGUAAUGCCAGUUACUGAGGAGGCUGGGGCAUGAGAAUCGCUUGAACCCAGGUGGCCGAGGGGCAACAAAAUGAAACUCGGUCUCAAAAAAAAAGAGGUGAUUUUUCUAUAUAUUCUAGCGCAGUAAACUAUUUGUUUAUUAGUCAGACCUUUUCUAAUCAACGUAGCAAAAUAUCAAACUUCAGAUAAUAAACAGUAGUUGAAAGAUAGCUCAUUCAUUUGUAAUUUUUUUGUUUGCUUAAAUCAUAAGAUGUAUAAUUAUAAUUUUUUUUAAAAGCACUGAAUUUCCCCAUUCCUCCGUUCAGCAUAGGAAUACUUAAAUUUGAAGAAAACAACAAUUCUUGGAAGAAUAAUUUAAUUAUAUUACAGAACUAAGUUAUGAAGGUAUCGGCACAAAAUACUGUGUUCAGGUUCUUGCUAAAGUUCAUAAGGUGGACUGAUGACAACAUAGGUGUUCAAUAGUUUUUGUAUUUUUUUUCCUAAACUUAAGCCUAACCCUCACCUAAGCCUAUAGUUAUGUGUUGAUUAAAUUACAUGUAACACAGAGCAGCCUAACUGGUAUUUGAAAUGAAACUGAGAAACUGCUUUUCUCCUUUAAUCUUUUCUCUGUGCAUUUCUAUGUUUUCUAGGUUUCAAAAUACUAGAGGAUAAAAAUUCUUAAAUUUUACAAAACAGAUAAAGUAUGGUUUGAAAUUUUUAAAAAACUGUACAUUUCCUGGAACCUCUUAGUUUAAAUGUGUAAACUGUUACAUAUUAGCAUUAUCCUGGAAUUAUCAUAUCAUCAAGGGCCUUCAUAGGCAUCAAAACCCAAUUAUUAAUAACACUUAGACUUAGUAUCCUUUAUUGAAUUGUAUGAACCAGAAUUUCUAGUGUGCUUUCAAUUCUAUACAUUAUUUGACCAAAGUAAGUAUUGCCAUUAUGAAAACAGAGUUGAUUUACCUAUGAAGCAUGGGUUCCAUAUUUGUACAUAGUUGAAAAACUGCUAGCAGUGGGCAUUUGGGGUAAUUUUUUUUUAAAAAAAGGACACGUGGAUGCAUGUUUUACUUCAAAUGUCACUAUUUUCUUUCAGAUGUGCUGAAUCUGAUCUUCGAUACAGUGUCAAAUUUCCUAACUUGCAAUGCAGGGCAUUUUUUAAUAUUAAAUGAAAAAAUGUGAAUUAAAAACAAAAUAAAAUGUUAUUUAAUAAAAUAAACCAGAUACAAAAUCUUGCCUUGUAUUUACAGAUAAAUUUUAAUGGAAUAUUUCAUGGUCUAACACAAAUAUGAGACCCAAUGACACUAAGUCUUGUACAGCCUUUGGCUUACCCUGUAUAACAAAAUCUGUUAUUUAAAGUAGACUAUAAAAUACUUUAUGGUAAGUGAACUUCCAAAGACACAAAGAAAAUCCUCCAUAAAUUUAAAAGCUUAUCUGAAAUCCUUAUUGGCAGAAGCUUAGGUUGGAUAUAUGAUUAAUUGCAUUAUCUUAGGUAGCUGAAAUAUAUAAUACUGGUUAGAGUGCGAAGGUUAAAAAAAAUAGGUUUAGGUAUUUUUGCUUCUGUUCCUACUCAACAUUAGUAAACACACUUAAGUGAAUGUAAAAUUACCUUUACAGAGUUUUAAAAUUUUGGCAAUCUCAAGCAAAUUUCCCUAAGUCAGCAACAUUUUUUUUUAAACCCUUAGUCAUCGUAUUACAAGGUUCAUAUAUUCCAAGGAAUAUUGAUUAAAUGUUGUACAAAUUAGAUAACAUUUAUUUUACUGAUGCUUAAUUUUUAAAACCUCCAUUUAGAAAUUUACAAGUAAAAUGGGCGUCAUCGAGGAAAACUAAAAUGGAUGGAUAAUGUAUGUAGUUGAAUAAAAGGUAUUCAAAAUAAUGUUUUUGGCGUAAAGAAUGUUUUGUACCAUCAUUUUAAUAACCUGUCCCUGGAAAGAAGAAAGUUCCAUCUUUCAAUGUCUGUUUUCAAGGUUAAGAAAUGUACUAAAUGAAUAGACAAUUCAGUAAUGUCCAACAGAUAACUAAAAUUCAAAUUUUAUUUUUCCAUAUUUAUCGGACAAUUUUUUUUCUGACAAGACUAUACUGAAAAAUGAAGUGCAAAUGGGAACUCUGUAAAAAUGUUUAUAAGAGUUGUACAUGACAUACUUUAAACGCCGCUAAGUACACAUUGAAUACUUUGUAAGUAUAUAGGCAUAUCAACAUGCAAGUGUCAUGUACCUAAUAUUACAAUAUGCAUUUUGUUUUUUGAAAAUGUUAAUGACAAGAGUAGAUUCAGUAACUAUGUUUCUCCAUUUUCUGUGCUUAUAUGGUUAAUUUUGUUGGAUCUUCUUUAUAGCACAGAAUUUAUUUUUUAUGCUGUCAUAAAUAUACCCUUCCAAAAGUUAUGAAUUUCAUGUCAUAAAUAGCACAUUUUAUUUUUGAAGCUGCAUUACUGGGAACACCUGCGUUUCUGGAUACCAUUUUCAGAGAUAAGUCUUUAAAUGAUUUUUAGCAUGGCAGACUUGUUCUAAUGUUGUUUGUGUUGAAAUGUUUAUGAUAAAAAUGGAGCUUUCUUGAGGGAGUAUUUUUUGGUUGAAUGAAAAGCUAAACAACAAAUUCACGAAUAUUGAUGUGAAUGCAAUAUGAAGAAAACAGGUCAGUAAUCUCAAAUUCAUAAAUCCUUGGGUUAUGACUUGACUGCAUCAUAGAAUCUACAAUAAGUACAGUAGGUACAGUUAAAUAAAUUUGAAAAAAAAUUAAAAUUGUAUACAUUUAUAAGGAGAAAGAGUACUAGCUUUGAAAAAUUUCUAGAUUUCUGUUCUUUCUAUUUAUGAGAUUUAUUCAAUACAUUAAAAACACAGAGAAAAGCAAAAAGGAUAGAGAUAUAACAAUUCAGUUUACAUUUCAUAGUUUUUUUUAACCAAUUGGUGACCACUGCUUUCAAACAUCAAUAUUUUAUUGCGUAUGAUUUUCACUAUCAGUAAAUAUAAAGAGAAAAGUGUCUACUAGUAUCAUGUACACGAAAAAGCAUCUGAAGAAAUAAAGCAUUUGAGGUUUGACAGUACUGUUUGUAAGUGUAAUGUUGCAUUUCAUACCGCACUUAAAAGUCCAUGUAGUCACUGCUGCUUUGACCCUGGAUGUGGAAAAGUGCUUAAGUGCUGAGCCCUGGUAGGUUUUUGUUUUGCCCCUGCAAUCUUCAAAUAUCUUUUAACUUUUCUUCUUUCGAAAUAUACAGUAUGUUUCGUAGGGGAAAAUAGUGGUUUUUUUUUUUGUUUUUUUUGUUUUUUGUUUUUUACAUCUCUUUCACAUUUGGGCCCAUUCUCUCCAAAAUAAUCAUACAUUUCUUGAUAUAUAUAUAUGUGUGUGUGUGUAUAUAUAUAUAUCAAGAUAUAUAUAUCAAGAUAUAUAUAUAUCACUUCUUGAUAUAUAUAUGCAUACAAAAUAUGUGAAGAUCAACCAAAUAUUAUUGAUAACAUAACCACAUAACAUAGAAACAUCUUACUUUAAGCAUAUUUUAGAGAUUCACCAUUGUAAUUUGAGAUAUUCAUGUUUUUAUUUUUUCCUACAGAAGAGUCUGUCAUUUCUGUUAGGAUAAUUAAAUUACAUCAUUGCAAAAUUCUUAAUAUGUCUAUGCAGACAAAAUGAAGUGGGCAUUUGUGGCAAUACUGUGCAUUAUAUGAGGAUUAUUUAUUAAUAAGGAGAAAUUUUUAAAAUACUUAAAUUGGUCUCAUACAGAUAAUACUACUUGGUAAAAUAAUUCAUAUACAUGAUUUUUACUUAAAACACACCAUGAAUUUAUAAGAAAUGUUACAUUUUAAAAAUUAAAUAUCAGAUUGGAUCGCAAAGUGUUGCCAUUUUAAUUAUUUUUAAAAAUCAAUACAAUUAUAUUAACAUUGAAAUAUUUAAUAGGCAUGAGAAGGACUAUUCUUAUAAAGUUAUAAUAUUUUGCCUUUAGGAAAAGCUAAUGAUAGAAAAGGAAAAACAAAUGCAGAUUCAUACACCACAGAAUACACUGAAGAACUUGGCUUUUGAGAUUUCCCAGGGGGUGGGGAGUGCACUGUUAUAAUAGUUCCGUAAGAAUGCUUCCUGGGAUAUCUGGUAAAUAAUUAUUUCCUCUAUUUAUAUUGAAGUAUCAUAGCCCAUGUUAAAAGUGAGAGGUAGAAGGAUUAUUGUAAGUAUGCAUGGCAGAGAACUUACCAGCUAUGUCCAAUAACUAUUGCAUUCAGUAUUAAUAAUCUCAAUACAUAAAAAUGCUGAUGAUUUUAGAACCCAUUCUUAUAUGUUGUCCCCUUUAACUCUCUUUAUUAUCUUGCUACUUUCAAUCCAUUGCCUUUGGAAGGGUAUGAGUGCAAAGGGCUUGUUCAGGGGUAGAAUAGACAGAGAAAGGGAAAAAAUGAAUAGAAAAAAAAAAGAUAUUUAAAAAUUCCCAUUAAGAUACAGUGACUAACUAUUAAAAGUACCCUAUGUUCUUUCAUUGACUACAUUUGUACUUAUAAUAAAAGUACUACAAUCUAUGAAAACAUGCACACAUUUCAAACAAAACUGAAGAAUUCCCAAUUCAAUGAGAUAUGAAUCGAAAUUUAAAACUCAGGUUAUUUCUUUCUCUGCAAUAACACUAAAAACUAAUCCAAAUAAAAAUGUUACUGUGUCACAUUAAUAAGAAAAACUUAACUUGUCCUUGAAUUAGUUGUAUUUUAAUGAAUGCUUUAGUGUGUGAGAGGUGAA
Molecule: long non-coding RNA, 4946 nt
Organism: Papio anubis (olive baboon)
Lineage: Eukaryota; Metazoa; Chordata; Mammalia; Primates; Cercopithecidae
Source: Ensembl